GGGACUACGGCGCCAGACAGCACGAGGAGUGCUGCUCACGACCGUGCGCUCCUACCCUAAGUACCAAGGCCUGAGCAGGUCCAGGAGAAGGUAGAGCUAAGGGCGGUCCCAACAUCCGCACCGGCGCCAGGGCAUACCGGCCCAGCCCUACGGCCCAGGCCUCACCUUGAGCUGAGAGCUGUCGGACACUGUUCACGAACUGCUCCAGAGCAGACGCCAUGUUUCCCCGCUGGUGGCCAAAGCAACAGAGGAGAAGGCCAUCAGCAUCUGGGAGUCGAAGGAUUUCUUCUUUGAACUUGAGCCCCUUCCUGGAGCUGUGGAAGCUGUGAAGCAUAUGGCCAGUCUGCAGAAGUAGUACGUACACCACCUUCUAGCACCGUAAACACCAGCCGGUAGCAGUGAAGCUUCUAGUAUGCCUGGGUGGAGAAGCACUUUGGCCCUGACUUUCUAGAACAAAUUGUGUUGACCAGAGACAAGACCGUGGUCUCUGCCGACCUUCUCAUAGAUGACCGGCCAGACAUCACAGGGGCCGAGUCACACCCCAGCUGGGAGCACAUCCUCUUCACCUCCUGCCACAACUACCACCUGCAGCUGCAGCCCCCUCGCCGCAGGCUGCACUCGUGGGCAGAUGACUGGAAGGCCAUCUUGGACAGCAAACGGCCACGCUGA
Molecule: long non-coding RNA, 669 nt
Filed under: Rattus norvegicus (Norway rat)
Lineage: Eukaryota; Metazoa; Chordata; Mammalia; Rodentia; Muridae
Description: long non-coding RNA NONRATT004350
Source: RNAcentral